Molecule: non-coding RNA, 677 nt
Organism: Ictidomys tridecemlineatus (thirteen-lined ground squirrel)
Lineage: Eukaryota; Metazoa; Chordata; Mammalia; Rodentia; Sciuridae
Source: RefSeq, a predicted model, not a curated record
CUUUGGAGCCGGGACUACUCCCUACAGUAGAUAUAUUAGGUUUUUUUCUUAUAUACAUAAACCUAUAAUAAAGUUGAAUUUAUAAACUAGGAACAGCAGGAGUUUAGCAAUUAAUAAUUAGGACAAUUAUAGCAAUACAUUAUUAUAAAAAUAUGUGAAGGUGGCCUCUCUUUCAAAAUAUCACUUUGUGAUGAUGUGAGAUGAUUCAAUGCCUAUUUGAUAAGAUGAGGUACAGUAAAUGACAUAGGCAUUGUGGAUACCUUGAUAAUCAAUCUGGUCAUUAAUAUGGCUACUAAGUGACUAACAGGGCUUUGGUGAUUCGAGGCAGACACUUUACCACUGGAGCUACAUCCCAGCACUCUCACUUGGUAAAUUGAAAAGGCCAACAUCUUUCUUGAGACCAGGACAGACACUUCGCCAAUUUAACCAACUCCAUUGAUGAACUGAGAAUCUAAAGCAUGGGCCAGAUAAUGGAUGUGAUUCAUAUCUUACAAGAACACCCGUUGAUUUGCCUAGGAUCCAAUACUGGCCUCUUGUGAAUAACAUUCUCCAGCCUCUCAUCAGGGUAUGUUGUAAUGUGCAAGGUGGUAUCCCACAUGACAACACAAAUGUUAUCCCUCAUUCCUAGCACUUAUUCUCUGGGUCAAUAAAACCUUUUGGGAGUGAUGCAGUAUCCA